This 429-nucleotide ribosomal RNA is filed under the name Actinomycetes bacterium. RNAcentral describes it as "Actinobacteria bacterium partial 16S ribosomal RNA". It matches the Rfam family "Bacterial small subunit ribosomal RNA", at positions 355 to 776 of the family's 1533-position model. Lineage: Bacteria; Bacillati; Actinomycetota; Actinomycetes. The record is from RNAcentral.
UAGGGAAUCUUCCGCAAUGGGCGAAAGCCUGACGGAGCAACGCCGCGUGAGUGAUGAAGGUCUUCGGAUCGUAAAACUCUGUUAUUAGGGAAGAACAAAUGUGUAAGUAACUAUGCACGUCUUGACGGUACCUAAUCAGAAAGCCACGGCUAACUACGUGCCAGCAGCCGCGGUAAUACGUAGGUGGCAAGCGUUAUCCGGAAUUAUUGGGCGUAAAGCGCGCGUAGGCGGUUUUUUAAGUCUGAUGUGAAAGCCCACGGCUCAACCGUGGAGGGUCAUUGGAAACUGGAACACUUGAGUGCAGAAGAGGAAAGUGGAAUUCCAUGUGUGGCGGUUAAAUGCGCAGAGAUAUGGAGGAACACCAGUGGCGAAGGCGACUUUCUGGUCUGUAACUGACGCUGAUGUGCGAAAGCGUGGGGAUCAAACAGG